GACGAACGCUGGCGGCGUGCUUAACACAUGCAAGUCGAGCGGAAAGGCCCCUUCGGGGGUACUCGAGCGGCGAACGGGUGAGUAACACGUGGGUAAUCAACCCCUGACAUCGGGAUACCCCGGGGAAACCCGGAUCAAUACCGGAUAAGGUGCGGAGGCGCAGGCCGCCGUACCAAAGGUAGCUUCGGCUUCCGGUCAGGGACGAGCCCGCGGCCCAUUAGCUUGUUGGUGGGGUAAUGGCCCACCAAGGCGACGAUGGGUAGCUGGUCUGAGAGGACGAUCAGCCACACUGGGACUGAGACACGGCCCAGACUCCUACGGGAGGCAGCAGUGGGGAAUCUUGCGCAAUGGGCGGAAGCCUGACGCAGCAACGCCGCGUGCGGGAAGAAGGCCCUAGGGUCGUAAACCGCUUUCAGGGGGGACGAAGCUUCCGGGGUUAAUAGCCUACGGGGUGACGGUACUCCCAGAAGAAGGUCCGGCUAACUACGUGCCAGCCGCCGCGGUAA
RNAcentral lists this ribosomal RNA (506 nucleotides) under uncultured bacterium. RNAcentral describes it as "partial 16S ribosomal RNA". It matches the Rfam family "Bacterial small subunit ribosomal RNA", at positions 28 to 523 of the family's 1533-position model. The record is from RNAcentral.